RNAcentral lists this non-coding RNA (28 nucleotides) under Mus musculus (house mouse). Lineage: Eukaryota; Metazoa; Chordata; Mammalia; Rodentia; Muridae. The record is from RNAcentral.
UGGAUUAAAUUUGUGUGCACCAUGCCUG